Molecule: ribosomal RNA, 443 nt
Filed under: uncultured rumen bacterium
Lineage: Bacteria
Description: bacterial SSU rRNA
Rfam family: Bacterial small subunit ribosomal RNA
Source: RNAcentral
AAUUCGAUUAACGCGAAGAACCUUACCCGGGCUUGAACUGCAGCGGAAGGAUACAGAGAUGUUGACGUCCUUCGGGACCGCUGUGGAGGUGCUGCAUGGUUGUCGUCAGCUCGUGCCGUGAGGUGUCGGCUUAAGUGCCAUAACGAGCGCAACCCUUUUCAUCAGUUGCCAUCAGGUGAUGCUGGGCACUCUGGUGAUACUGCCACCGUAAGGUGUGAGGAAGGUGGGGAUGACGUCAAAUCAGCACGGCCCUUACGUCCGGGGCUACACACGUGUUACAAUGGGGUAUACAGAAGGCGGGAUCACGGCAACGUGGUUCAAAUCUUUAAAGUGCUCCUCAGUUCGGAUUGGGGUCUGCAACCCGACCCCAUGAAGCUGGAUUCGCUAGUAAUCGCGCAUCAGCCAUGGCGCGGUGAAUACGUUCCCGGGUCUUGUACACACCG